Molecule: ribosomal RNA, 468 nt
Filed under: uncultured bacterium
Lineage: Bacteria
Description: partial 16S ribosomal RNA
Rfam family: Bacterial small subunit ribosomal RNA
Source: RNAcentral
GACGAACGCUGGCGGCGUGCUUAACACAUGCAAGUCGAACGGAAAGGCCCUGCUUUUGUGGGGUGCUCGAGUGGCGAACGGGUGAGUAACACGUGAGUAACCUGCCCUUGACUUUGGGAUAACUUCAGGAAACUGGGGCUAAUACCGGAUAGGAGCUCCUGCUGCAUGGUGGGGGUUGGAAAGUUUCGGCGGUUGGGGAUGGACUCGCGGCUUAUCGGCUUGUUGGUGGGGUAGUGGCUUACCAAGGCUUUGACGGGUAGCAGGCCUGAGAGGGUGACCGGCCACAUUGGGACUGAGAUACGGCCCAGACUCCUACGGGAGGCAGCAGUGGGGAAUAUUGCACAAUGGGCGGAAGCCUGAUGCAGCAACGCCGCGUGCGGGAUGACGGCCUUCGGGUUGUAAACCGAUUUCGCCUGUGACGAAGCGUGAGUGACGGUAAUGGGUAAAGAAGCACCGGCUAACUACGUG